CCUUUGAUAGCUCAGCUGAUAGAGUGGAGGACUGUAGAUCCUUAGGUCGCUGGUUCAACUCCAGCUCAAAGGA
Corvus hawaiiensis (hawaiian crow) is the source of this 73-nucleotide non-coding RNA. Lineage: Eukaryota; Metazoa; Chordata; Aves; Passeriformes; Corvidae. The record is from the annotation of a RefSeq genome assembly.